Molecule: ribosomal RNA, 794 nt
Filed under: uncultured bacterium
Lineage: Bacteria
Description: bacterial SSU rRNA
Rfam family: Bacterial small subunit ribosomal RNA
Source: RNAcentral
AGAGUUUGAUCCUGGCUCAGAUUGACCGCUGGCGGUAUGCCUUACCCAUGCAGGUCGAACGGCCGCCCGGAGGUUGCUCUGGUGGCAAGUGGCGAACGGGUGUGGAUGAUWUCCUUGCGUACCCUAUAAGUGGGGGAUAACGSAUUGAAAGUUACGCUAAUCCCGCAUACGAUCUAAGGAUGAAAGUGGGGGAUCGCAAGACCUCAUGCUCGUGGAGCGGCCGAUAUCUGAUUAGCUAGUUGGUAKGGUAAAAGCCUACCAAGGCAUCGAUCAGUAGCUGGUCUGAGAGGACGACCAGCCACACUGGAACUGAGACACGGUCCAGACUCCUACGGGAGGCAGUAGUGGGGAAUUUUGGACAAUGGGCGAAAGCCUGAUCCAGCAAUGCCGCGUGAGUGAAGAAGGCCAUCGGGUUGUAAAGCUCUUUUGUCAGGGAAGAAACGGUGAAAGCUAAUAUCUUUUGCUAAUGACGGUACCUGAAGAAUAAGCACCGGCUAACUACGUGCCAGCAGCCGCGGUAAUACGUAGGGUGCAAGCGUUAAUCGGAAUUACUGGGCGUAAAGCGUGCGCAGGCGGUUUUGUAAGUCUGAUGUGAAAUCCCCGGGCUCAACCUGGGAAUUGCAUUGGAGACUGCAAGGCUAGAAUCUGGCAGAGGGGGGUAGAAUUCCACGUGUAGCAGUGAAAUGCGUAGAUAUGUGGAGGAACACCGAUGGCGAAGGCAGCCCCCUGGGUCAAGAUUGACGCUCAUGCACGAAAGCGUGGGGAGCAAACAGGAUUAGAUACCCUGGUAGUCC